UGGGGAAUAUUGGACAAUGGGCGAAAGCCUGAUCCAGCCAUGCCGCGUGUGUGAAGAAGGUCUUCGGAUUGUAAAGCACUUUAAGUUGGGAGGAAGGGCAGUAAGCGAAUACCUUGCUGUUUUGACGUUACCGACAGAAUAAGCACCGGCUAACUCUGUGCCAGCAGCCGCGGUAAUACAGAGGGUGCAAGCGUUAAUCGGAAUUACUGGGCGUAAAGCGCGCGUAUGUGGUUCGGUAAGUUGAAUGUGAAAGCCCCCGGCUCAACCUCGGAACUGCAUCCAAAACUGGCGGGCUAGAGUACGGCAGAGGGUGGUGGAAUUUCCUGUGUAGCGGUGAAAUGCGUAGAUAUAGGGAGGAACACCAGUGGCGAAGGCGACCACCUGGGCUCAUACUGACACUGAGGUGCGAAAGCGUGGGGGGCAAACAGG
Molecule: ribosomal RNA, 429 nt
Filed under: Pseudomonadota bacterium
Lineage: Bacteria; Pseudomonadati; Pseudomonadota
Description: Proteobacteria bacterium partial 16S ribosomal RNA
Rfam family: Bacterial small subunit ribosomal RNA
Source: RNAcentral